Small nucleolar RNA from Pistacia vera, 126 nucleotides. Lineage: Eukaryota; Viridiplantae; Streptophyta; Magnoliopsida; Sapindales; Anacardiaceae. The record is from RefSeq and is a predicted model, not a curated record.
GAGCAAGGGCGUCACAUUAAACAAUGGCGUGAUUUGCAUUGAAGGUUGGCAAUAUUAAUCAGCGAUUCUCCGUGCCUAUCAAAUUAUAUCUCGUUUUGAUUAUGGCCUCGAACAAGUCGCUACAAU